Non-coding RNA from Nothoprocta perdicaria, 165 nucleotides. Ensembl annotates it as small Cajal body-specific RNA 1. The record is from Ensembl. NCBI's taxonomy places the organism in Eukaryota, Metazoa, Chordata, Aves, Tinamiformes, Tinamidae.
AAGCACUUGAUACUAACCGAGCCAUCCGUGGCCCAGGUCUUGCACAGAGAUCUGAGGUUACGCUUGUGAUUGCUGGGUCUGAAAAGUGCGACAUUAAACCAGCCAUGCAGCGUUUAAGCUCAGUGUAUGAAGGAAAACACUGGGUUAUAACUCAGCGGCACAAAA